Gastrolobium bilobum is the source of this 136-nucleotide long non-coding RNA. RefSeq lists it as uncharacterized. The record is from RefSeq and is a predicted model, not a curated record. Lineage: Eukaryota; Viridiplantae; Streptophyta; Magnoliopsida; Fabales; Fabaceae. The transcript is spliced from 3 exons.
GCGAGGUGCCCGUUUCGCCAAAUGGCGUACGGUUGUGAGCAUCCCCAACGGUCCCUCUGCUCUGGCAGUCAAGGAAGCAGCCUGGGGUCUGGCUCGCUAUGCUGCCAUUGCACAGGACAAUGGAUUGGUCCCAAUU